This 252-nucleotide ribosomal RNA is filed under the name uncultured microorganism. Its description in RNAcentral is "partial 16S ribosomal RNA". It matches the Rfam family "Bacterial small subunit ribosomal RNA", at positions 524 to 776 of the family's 1533-position model. The record is from RNAcentral.
UACGUAGGUCCCGAGCGUUGUCCGGAUUUAUUGGGCGUAAAGCGAGCGCAGGUGGUUUAAUAAGUCUGAUGUAAAAGGCAGUGGCUCAACCAUUGUGUGCAUUGGAAACUGUUAGACUUGAGUGCAGUAGAGGAGAGUGGAAUUCCAUGUGUAGCGGUGAAAUGCGUAGAUAUAUGGAGGAACACCGGUGGCGAAGGCGGCUAUCUGGCUGGUAACUGACGCUGAGGUGCGAGAGCGUAGGGAGCAAACAGG